GAUGAAGAACGUAGCGAAAUGCGAUACGUAAUGUGAAUUGCAGAAUUCAGUGAAUCAUCGAGUCUUUGAACGCACAUUGCGCCCCCUGGUAUUCCGGGGGGCAUGCCUGUUCGAGCGUCAUUAUAACCCCUCAAGCUCAGCUUGGUGUUGGGGCCUGCUGCACUGGCAGCCCUUAAAAUCAGUGGCGGCGCCAUCUGGCUCUAAGCGUAGUAAUUCUUCUCGCUAUGGAGUCCUGGUGGAUGCUUGCCAUCAACCCCCAAUUUUUCUAUGGUUGACCUCGGAUCAGGUAGGGAUACCCGCUGAACUUAAGCAUAUCAAUAAGCGGAGGA
RNAcentral lists this unclassified non-coding RNA (329 nucleotides) under soil metagenome. RNAcentral's name for it is "partial contains 5.8S ribosomal RNA, internal transcribed spacer 2, and large subunit ribosomal RNA". The stretch from base 1 to 120 matches the Rfam family "5.8S ribosomal RNA", at positions 35 to 154 of the family's 154-position model. The record is from RNAcentral.